Molecule: small RNA, 171 nt
Filed under: human gut metagenome
Description: Bacteroidales-1 6S-Bacteroidales RNA suggested
Rfam family: Bacteroidales-1 6S-Bacteroidales RNA suggested
Source: RNAcentral
AAAUUGGGAAACUCAUCAAAUUUAAUAGAAAUGCCGAGACAAGCUUGUCUGUCAAUGGCGGGCCCCACACCGAAAGGUGUUGACUUGACGGUCACAGGUGGAUUACAAAGACUUUCAGGCCCUCAAAACCUGUCGUUCGGAGUUUCGUCACAUUCCUUUGGUGUGGAUCUU